AAGAGCCGGAUGCGUUAGUAGCGCAAGUCCGGUUCUGUGAGGGCUUGGGGCUGUGAAGCCCCGGCUACUCGAU
This is a non-coding RNA of Clostridiaceae bacterium BRH_c20a, 73 nucleotides long. The record is from Rfam. NCBI's taxonomy places the organism in Bacteria, Bacillati, Bacillota, Clostridia, Eubacteriales, Clostridiaceae.